RNAcentral lists this long non-coding RNA (4813 nucleotides) under Salvia miltiorrhiza (redroot sage). Its description in RNAcentral is "long non-coding RNA (SMIL_LNC002206)". The record is from RNAcentral. Lineage: Eukaryota; Viridiplantae; Streptophyta; Magnoliopsida; Lamiales; Lamiaceae.
GGUGCUCUCUGGUUGUGGAGGCGCGUUGUUCACGAACGCUAGCUCUGCCAAAUCGAUGGCCUUGGCCAGGCCAGCAGCUUUGCGUUCACACUCGAUUUGCUCGUCGUCUGGACGGCUGUCGGCCACGAUCCCAGCACCGGAUUGGAGGUGCGCGAUCCAUUCCUGGCGCCUGUUGCCAUCCUUGUACGAGUACAUUGUGUCGUAACGGACUGCAGUAGGGAAAACGAUUGUCCUCAGAGUCAAUGCGAUGUCCAUGUCGCCCAGGAACGAAACCCCUCCGAAGCCACCGCUGUAUGGUCCCCUUCUUGUUGGUUCUAAUUGAUCAAUCAACUCCAUGGCCCUCACCUGAAGUUCGCGAACAGGGGAAAACAAAACACGAUCUUAUCGACUGACGAAUACGAUUAUUUACAAGAACUCAGGAGUUUGAAACUGGAAAAUUAAAUUCAAUGCAUAAACUCAGGUCUCAGAUAAGCUAAAGCUGCAUCGUUACCUUUGGUGCUCCACUAACUGUUCCAACGGGCAGUGCAGCACGCAGUGCAUCCCAAGCCGUCAUAUCAUCAAGUAACUCUCCAGUUACCUAUAAUCACAAUUUAACACAAAAUACGAAAUAGUUAUUGAGCAAUCAGAAAAAAGCAAUGGUAUUUCAAUGGGAAAUGUUUUGAGCACCAAAUAUUUGCCAAUGAGGCAAUUCAAUUGCCAAGUAAAAGCAUGUUCUUACUGUAGAGCUUAUGUGCAUCACAUGGGAAUAUCGUUCGACAGUCAUGAGCUUUUCCACUUUGACCGAACCAGGUUUUGAAACCUGGGCCAAAAAAAUUAUAGAAACAGCUUAAUACAUUAUACAUCAAAUAAGAAAGGGUCUUGAUUUGACAGCAAAGUGGGAAAACAAAAGAUGCGGAGAAAGUUUUUGGCUCUUGAAGUCAUACACAGCUUAAAUCCUCACAAGUAAUUAAUAAAAUACCAUAUGGAGAGAAUAUGGAAGUUCUUUGAGAAAUUGAUGGUUUUUAUCUAAUACUAAGAGCAAAAGAUGGAGGUUUCAGUCAAAUCAAGUUUUUGCCUUCCUCUGAAUCCUGGGGUUGCCCGUUGCCUGGAUUGACAUGCUAGCAAAACGUAUGUAAACAAGAAAAGCUAAUAACACAGCAAUUGAUAUCAAAUACACUAUAACUUGUUAGCUAGCUUCAACUUUGUACAAUGACCAGUUAGUGUAGGUGAAAUUUCAUUUCAAUUUUGCACACUUGAUAUUUAACCAAGAACGGAUCAUCUUAUGCUCUGAAAAUACCCAUACGUUAGCACCAAACUUAUAUUUUGUGAAGGAUGAAAGUACAAGCAAAAAACUUAUACACCUAAACAUUAUAAGAUAUUCUCCCUCACAAUAUAGGCACGUGAUGUGGAUAAUAAUGGAAACAAAAUAUUUAACUGAAAACACUGGCACAACAGCAUUUAUAGAGGGCAUAGGGCAUGAUUAAAAUUGUAAAGUACUCAAGUAUUAAGAGAUUUACUUUUAGGAGAAUGGAAUAACAAACAGAAUAAGGAGACAUGGUGCGACAAAAGCUACAAAAGUUUCCUCUAGACAAUAUGAACAAUAAACAAACCUUUCCAACAUCAUUCCUGCCCAGAUCAACCAGCAUAAUAUGUUCUGCGCAUUGCUUUUCAUCCUUUAGCAGCUUCAUCUCUAACAUUUCAUCCUCAUUGCUUGUCGUCCCUCGUUUAGCUGUCCCAGCCAANAAGUGAGACAUUUGUAAUGGGAAAAAGAAAUUAGUAAUUUGGAAAUAAAUAAUUCAAGAAAAGGAUCAGCAAACAGAAAUAGUUCUAAGUUACCCUGAAAAAUGCCGUCUAUAAGAGGAAAUUCAUACACAAAAGCUUAAAACUUAACAAAUCCAAAUAAUUACAAGCCUAUACCACCAAUAAAGCAUUCUUGAUCAAUUAACAAUGAUAAAUAUAUUUUCUUGAGGAAUUAUGAUAUAGAAUGAUAAAUAUAACCUCAGAAGUACAUUACUAUAUAAACAACAAGUAUAACAAAAAUCACAAAAUUAAAUAAAACUCAAGUGAUUCUCAUUAGCUAAGAUUUUCCCAUUAUAGCAAAAAUUACACGAAUCGUAAAACCGAAAAUUUCAUUCAGUUGCCAAACAGAGACUCGUCAAUCUCAAUCUUGACCACUUCGCCGUCGUCGUACUUAUCUUUUCUCGGCGGAAGCGGCGGCGCCGGAACCCUCGGCGGCCCUCUCCCCUUCUUCUUAUCCUUGGGCCUCGCCUUCACACGCCAAAAAUCCACACAAUCAAUAACAGAAAAAUGGAAUAAAUAAACCUCCGAAAAAAGAAAAAUUAACAAAUGAAUUAGCGUAAAACCACAUUGCCGAAUGAGUGAUUGAAGCGCUUCCCCUAGCAGUUUCUUGUCCCUCGGCCGCAGAAAACUGAACCCCAAGGAAAAAAAAAAUCAGAGAGAGAGAGAGAGAGAUAGAGAGAUAGAGAAGAGAGAGUUCACUUACUGAGAGGAAGCGAAGGGGCGGGUAUGGAGGUGGAGAGGGAGGAAGGGGCGUUGAAUAGGGCUUGAGACUUAGAGAGAGAAAGAGAAGGGGGAAUUGUGAGGGGUCUGGAAGCCAUGGGAGGAGCUCCAACUCCGAGCAAGAGAGACGCCAUCUCAAUUCUCAAAAUCUGUGGAAUUGAGCAACGAAAUUGUGAAUUAGUGGACAAAAGGAUUGUGUUUCGGAUAAAAUGUGGAGAUCGAACGACGCCGUUUUGAUGGGAAUGUUGGUAUAUCUAUUCCCAUGAACAUAAAAUAAAAUUAAUUGAAUUAGCCGUAUUUAAAUUUUACUACCUUUUCUAAUGAAAUUGUUCUUUUUCCUUGAGGCACUAAUAAAAGUGUUCUUAUAUAAUAAUCUUUUGUUUUAACUAAUAAUAAUAAUAGUUACUCCUUUUUGUUCAAUACAUUUCAUUUUUACUGAGCUCAUAUUCUAUGGAUAUCAUCCGAUAGAAAUAUUAGGUAUUUGAUUUGGUGAAUGAGAUCAAUAAAAUUAAUAAGAUUAGAUGAGUGAUUAAAUUUAUUCAAUUUUUGGAUGAUAAAUAAUUAUUCAUUUGAAUGAUUAGAUUCAAGUCGAAUUACCAAUCACGAGUUGAAUCAUGCAAAAAGUAAACACUUAAUUAAAAUAAAUUAUUUUAUCCUCAAACGAAACGCCUCUCUCACCCAAAACUAAUUAUGUUUCCAUUUAAAUGUGUAUGAGAUAUAAUUUAAGAAUGACGGAAAUAGAAUAAAAUGAGCAUCAAAAUUGGGAAAAUUAAUGAUCCUUUCUCACACAAACAUUCAAUUUCCAACCGCCAAUUCUGUUAUUGUGUGGGACUAGUAUUAGAUUUUAAUUUUUAUUUGAUAUUAAUAUUGACCUUAUUUUCAACCAGAAGUGACGUUAUAUUGAUUGCUACAGGGGAAGCUUACGUGGUAUAUUGAUUGCUACAUGAGAUAAAAUUAAUGAAUUGGUACCAAACAUAAGCGUAUGUAGGGCUGUCUAAAUGGUUAUCGGGUUUUGGGUAUCCAAUUAACCGAACCGAAAUUCCCGGGUUUGUAUCCAAUAACCAAAAUUUCGGGUAAUGGAUCGUUUCGGUUAUGUUUUUUUGAAAUUUCGGUUAUCGGUUAACCCGAAAAACCGAUCGGGUUAACCGAAUAACGAAAAUUAUUUUAUUAAUUAUUUAAUAUAUAUAUUAUCAAUAUAUCAUAUAUAUAUUAUAUAUUUAAUAUAUAUAUAAUAUAUUUGUAAAUUUACAUUAUUUAUAUAUUUUACAAUAUAUUAUAUAUUUGUAAAUUUACAAUAUUAUAUUUACAAUUAUUUAAAUAAUUAUUAUAUAUUGUAAAUAAUUUACAAUAUAUAAUAUAUUAUAUAUUUACAAAUAUUAAUAUUUAAAUUAAUUAAUUUAAAUAUAAUAUAUAUUAUAUAUUUACAAUAUAUUAUAUAUUUGUAAAUUAUUUAAUAUAUAUAUAUAUAUAUAUUUGUAAAUAUAUAUUAUAUAUUUGUAAUUUCUUUUAGAGUAGAUAGAGCAAAAAAUUAUUUGAAUUUUUAUUUUUUAAAUGGGUAUUUCGGAUACCCAAAUAACCCAAUUGGUUAACCGAAGCGGGUAUUGGGUAACCGAAUUUCUAAAAACGGUUCGGGAACGGUUAUUGAAAUUUGGCAAUUUCGGGUUCGGGUAACCGAAAAUUCGGAUACGGGUAACCGAACCCGAACCGAUCGACAGCCCUAAAUGCAAGUGUAGCAACCAAUUUGAUCAAAUAACAUGAUUUAGUAACAAUUCAAGAAAUUAACACUGUGGUUUCAACAAAAUUUACAUACAAAAGAAAGAAAAAGGAAAUAAGCAAGACAAAAAAAAAUGCACUUGCAUAUUAAGCCAAAGAUCUCUAUACUGUAGUUUGUGAAAGGCUUGAGCCUCCUAUUACACAACAUAGACUACUCUAACUAGGCUAGUUAGGUUUCAAACACCCAUACCUCCGUUAUGAGUAAUCAGCUCCCUACUGCGGAUAUGGAGCAGCGGCGGAGGAGAGGCGUCGGUGCUCUCUGGUUGGGGAGGCGCGUUGUUCACGAACGCUAGCUCUGCCAAAUCGAUGGCCUUGGCCAGGCCAGCAGCUUUGCGUUCACACUCGAUUUGCUCGUCGUCUGGACGGCUGUCGGCCACGAUCCCAGCACCGGAUUGGAGGUGCGCGAUCCAUUCCUGGCGCCUGUUGCCAUCCUUGUACGAGUACAUUGUGUCGUAACGGACUGCAGUAGGGAAAACGAUUGUCCUCAGGGUCAAUGCGAUGUCCAUGUCGCCCAGGAACGAAACCCCUCCGAAGCCACCGC